AAGAGCAUGCUCCGCCCAGCCAGCGCCCAGCGUCGCCCAAUCAGCAGUGCCUGCCGUCCAAUCCCGCCCCCCCUGCGCCUGGCCUGCCCGGUCGGCGCUGGCCCCGCCGCGGCGUGCUUCCGGGGUCCCCGAGGGCCGCGGGUGCCUCUGCGUGGCAGGCCCCAGGCGGGCGGGCGGCGUCCCGAGUCGCCGGCCCGGAGACGUGGUUCCCAGCGCGGGGUGCAGGUCUCGGUGUUGGACAGACCCAGGAGGAAAGGAUGGUGCGAAGCGUAGCUCAGACCCGAAUCCCGACCUCGACUCCGCCGCGAUCUCCGCAGUCGCGGCCACGGCCGCCCGCGGCUCAGACGUGGGCUGCGGCCCGGUCGCCGGCCGCCAGAUGAGGUGAAUCAGAGCUGACCGUUUCACCGGAGCCGAGCGGAGACGAUCGCCCCCGGGCAGAGCCCGACCCACAAGCCGAGCUAGGGCAACUUCCAAACCCCAAGACGAGACAGUCCAAAAGGGAAAACCUGGGUCUCGCUCGCGCUGCGCCUCACGGGCCCACGCCCGGACGUGGCCGGCACAGACGUCACAGCCGGGAGGAAAUGACGAAGCCGCGCUCCCUUCUGGGACUUGUAGUUCACCGCUCCGAGCUCUUGCACUUCCGUGGGCCACCGGAAAAGCCGCCAUUUUCCAGGCGCUGGUGGGUCUGGCGCUCCAAUUCCAGCUAGGGUUCGGGUCUUACCUGGAAGGAACGGGGGCAGAAGAAGAAGCCAGACCGACCCGCAGUGACCUGGGCAGCGCCGGCCGAGGGGGCAGGCCCACCUGGGACCGCUGCUGUUGAAGGAGCACCUGAGGGAGCCGAGAGGGAUGCAAACCGGCCGAGGGCUUUCGAACUCCAAGGUCGGGAGGGUCUGGCUGACCUUCUGCAGAGAAGAGCCGAGAUUCCUUUGCGUGGCAUACCCGGCUGGUGUUGGGGUUUCAGGCUGGCACACAAGGUUUCCGGCCCUUUUCUUCUCCAUCAGUUCAUCUUUGGCCCACACACUCCCAAGAGGCGCACGGUGCAGGAGGAGCUAGUGGCCAAGGGCCUCCUGAAAGGGGCACCAGGCGAGGAGGCUCCUGUACCCCAGAGGCUGCCCAGCCCUAGGACACAGCUAUGUUUUCUUCCACUACACCUCCUCCUGGGACUAUGUCCUCUUCACAGCGGCGUCUUCCGAUGGGAGGAGGAAACGGAGACUCUCCUCUAGCCAGGCCCAUCCCAGGUGAGUUGGGGAUGUUCGCUCUCAGGGCCUCGGAUCACGUCCCCUCCUUCCCAGGCCGGCACACCCGCAGCGGCCCUCACAGGCUGGUUCCGCUGUGGCUGCACCCCUGGAUUCCUGCCGGACAAGACCCUCAUGAGGCAUCGGCUCCUUGCACGAGCCUCACUUCUGGGCUUCGUCUCUAGUUCAGACAUUUUGUUUGGUGUCUUUGCUUCGCAUCUCAGAAGCGUCCCGUUGGAGUGUGGUGGUUGCUUGAAAACUGUCUCCUGAUUCAGAGGUGGGGAGAGAAGGCCCCUCACGUCUGCAGGGCUCUGCCACGAGACCUUUGAGUUGGGCGCUGCCCCGGGUCACUGCCCUCAGGUGUUGGCUGCUUCCUGGAGGCCACGGGUCGGUGCCCCUCCAGCCUGAGGGUCUCCGAGGCCAGACCAUUCCAUUCUUGGGGAUGCUCAGUGACUAGGAUGGGACCCCCUGCUGGGCGACGCUGUCUUCAGAGCCGUGCCAGGGCACAUGCCUCAGGGAGGUCGGAGCACGGCCCGGGGUCUGGCCAGUGCGGUGAGAAGCCGAGGUGCCAGCGUGGACGGACUGCAGGGCCGGGGAUCACGGCCCUCGCCUGCCAGCCUGCCUGGAAAGCCAUAAAGGGCCACAUAGUAAGUGUUUUGAGUUUUGUGGGCCACGUACAGCCUCUCUUGUGUAUUUUUUUUCUUUUUUUUACACAUUCUUAUAAAAACAUAAAGUCAUUCAUAGCCUAAUAGAAAAAGAACACAGCUGGCUUUGUCCCGUGAGCCGGAGUUUGCCGGUCCCUGCUUCAGCACUUCCUUUUUGCUGGCUUUGAAUCUGUGGUUUUGAAGAGAAGCUGGGGGUGACCGUCUCCCAGUGGGAAUCCUAUCGUUUCUAGUCCAGAAAUUGGGUUCGUUGGUCGGAUUGGCGGGGUGCUCAGAGAAGUAAAAUCCCGCCCGCUGCACCCUCUGCCUCUGUGUGAUGUUCACCGCCUGGUGUCCGUGUUGCUUGGAGCACAGCCCAGACGCAGACGCCUCGUAGAUGCGCACACGGUGGACACCGUCCACACACACCAGCUCCCUGCCCUGGGCUGCUGCGUGCCCCCACCCUCCAUGCGGGGGCGGCAGGACCCCAGCCGAGCAGUAACGCUGAGAUGGUUCAGGCACCUGUGGCAUUUGAGGAUGUGGCCGUGACCUUCACCCCAGAGGAGUGGGGGCACCUGGAGCCCACCCCGAGGACCCUGUACCGUGACGUGACCCUGGAGGCCUUCGCGCACCUGGUCUCUGGUUUCUGCUUUCCGUGCCGGGCGUGCUCUCCCAACUGGAGCGGGCAGAAUUCCUGAAGCUGGUGCAGCAGGGACCUCCCCAAGUUCUGGAGGCCAGGAGUCCAGAAUCAGUGCUGUUGGGCUGAAGUCAUCGUGCUGCAGAGCCACACUCCUUCCAGGGGCGCUGCGGGAGAAUCGUUCCCUCCUCCUUCCAGCUUCCGGUGGCUGCUGGCACCCUUGGCUUAUGGCCACUUCACAGCCUUGAAGGCCAGCAUCUUCACAUCUCUCUGUCUGUUCUCACAUCAUCUUGUCCUUUCUCUGUAAAAUCUCCCUCAGCUUCUCUUUUGAUAGCAUUUAGGGCCUACCUGGAUAAUCCAGGAUAGUAUUCCCACCUCAAGAUUCUUAAUUUACUCACAUCUGCAAAGUCCCUUUUUCCAAAUAAGUUAACAAUUACAGGUUCCAAAGGUUGGGAUGUGGGAUCUCUUUCAAAGGGCCAUUUCUCAGCCUACUACAUAUCCUAUCUCAGCAAUCUAAGUAUGGUGUGUUGAGUGCUUUAUGCCUUGUAGGUCAAAUUCUUUCAGUGGAUUUCUCCUUUAAUCUUCACCCUCCUGUUUAUCCUUACUCCUAUGCUCUUUUUGAGGAUCAAUCCUCCUAGGUCAUCUUUGCAUUAUUGUUCCCUAUUUUGUACAACUUAUUUCCUGUUUACAGCUUACUUCCUGUUUGCUGAUCCAUGCCUCCUUUUCACAUCCUGCAUGCAUAUUACAUUCCUCAGAUUAAAAACAGUCCACAGACACCUCAUACACUCUGUGGUCACCUUCAUCCCACCAACCCAAUCUUUUUUUUUUU
Choloepus didactylus (southern two-toed sloth) is the source of this 3342-nucleotide long non-coding RNA. RefSeq lists it as uncharacterized. NCBI's taxonomy places the organism in Eukaryota, Metazoa, Chordata, Mammalia, Pilosa, Megalonychidae. The record is from RefSeq and is a predicted model, not a curated record. The transcript has 6 exons.